This is a small nuclear RNA of Otolemur garnettii (small-eared galago), 107 nucleotides long. NCBI's taxonomy places the organism in Eukaryota, Metazoa, Chordata, Mammalia, Primates, Galagidae. The record is from Ensembl.
GUGCUUGCUUCAGCAGCACAUAUCCUAAAAUUACAACGAUACAGAGAAGAUUAGCAUGGCCCCUGCACAAGGAUGACAUGCAAAUUCAUGAAGCAUUCCAUAUUAAA